GAUGAACGCUGGCGGCGUGCCUAAUACAUGCAAGUCGAGCGAACAGACGAGGAGCUUGCUCCUCUGACGUUAGCGGCGGACGGGUGAGUAACACGUGGAUAACCUACCUAUAAGACUGGGAUAACUUCGGGAAACCGGAGCUAAUACCGGAUAAUAUAUUGAACCGCAUGGUUCAAUAGUGAAAGACGGUUUUGCUGUCACUUAUAGAUGGAUCCGCGCCGCAUUAGCUAGUUGGUAAGGUAACGGCUUACCAAGGCAACGAUGCGUAGCCGACCUGAGAGGUUGAUCGGCCACACGGGAAAUGAGACACGGUCCAGACUCCGAAGGGAGGCAGCAGUAGGGAAUCUUCCGCAAUGGGCGAAAGCCUGACGGAGCAACGCCGCGUGAGUGAUGAAGGUCUUCGGAUCGUAAAACUCUGUUAUUAGGGAAGAACAAAUGUGUAAGUAACUAUGCACGUCUUGACGGUACCGAAUCAGAAAGCCACGGCUAACUACGU
Molecule: ribosomal RNA, 496 nt
Filed under: uncultured bacterium
Lineage: Bacteria
Description: partial 16S ribosomal RNA
Rfam family: Bacterial small subunit ribosomal RNA
Source: RNAcentral